This 84-nucleotide ribosomal RNA is filed under the name uncultured Acidobacteriota bacterium. RNAcentral describes it as "uncultured Acidobacteria bacterium partial 16S ribosomal RNA". The record is from RNAcentral. Lineage: Bacteria; Pseudomonadati; Acidobacteriota.
GCACGGGUGAGUAACACGUAAGUAAUCUGCCCUCGAGUGGGGAAUAACGUCCGGAAACGGACGCUAAUACCGCAUAAUGCAGCG